RNAcentral lists this ribosomal RNA (398 nucleotides) under Providencia rettgeri. RNAcentral's name for it is "bacterial SSU rRNA". It matches the Rfam family "Bacterial small subunit ribosomal RNA", at positions 1 to 397 of the family's 1533-position model. The record is from RNAcentral. Lineage: Bacteria; Pseudomonadati; Pseudomonadota; Gammaproteobacteria; Enterobacterales; Morganellaceae.
UAAUUGAAGAGUUUGAUCAUGGCUCAGAUUGAACGCUGGCGGCAGGCCUAACACAUGCAAGUCGAGCGGUAACAGGGGAAGCUUGCUUCUCGCUGACGAGCGGCGGACGGGUGAGUAAUGUAUGGGGAUCUGCCCGAUAGAGGGGGAUAACUACUGGAAACGGUAGCUAAUACCGCAUAAUCUCUCAGGAGCAAAGCAGGGGAACUUCGGUCCUUGCGCUAUCGGAUGAACCCAUAUGGGAUUAGCUAGUUGGUGAGGUAAUGGCUCACCAAGGCGACGAUCCCUAGCUGGUCUGAGAGGAUGAUCAGCCACACUGGGACUGAGACACGGCCCAGACUCCUACGGGAGGCAGCAGUGGGGAAUAUUGCACAAUGGGCGCAAGCCUGAUGCAGCCAUGC